This 253-nucleotide ribosomal RNA is filed under the name uncultured bacterium. RNAcentral describes it as "partial 16S ribosomal RNA". It matches the Rfam family "Bacterial small subunit ribosomal RNA", at positions 524 to 776 of the family's 1533-position model. The record is from RNAcentral.
UACGUAGGGGGCAAGCGUUGUCCGGAAUCAUUGGGCGUAAAGCGCGUGUAGGCGGUUCGGUAAGUCUGCUGUGAAAGUCCAGGGCUCAACCCUGGGAUGCCGGUGGAUACUGUCGGGCUAGAGUACGGAAGAGGCGAGUGGAAUUCCCGGUGUAGCGGUGAAAUGCGCAGAUAUCGGGAGGAACACCAAUUGCGAAGGCAGCUCGCUGGGACGCCACUGACGCUGAGACGCGAAAGCGUGGGGAGCAAACAGG